UACGGAGGAUGCGAGCGUUAUCCGGAUUCAUUGGGUUUAAAGGGUGCGUAGGCGGUUCCUUAAGUCAGUGGUGAAAUCCUGCGGCUCAACCGUAGAACUGCCAUUGAUACUGAGGAACUUGAAUUUAGUUGAGGUAGGCGGAAUGAGUAGUGUAGCGGUGAAAUGCUUAGAUAUUACUCAGAACACCGAUUGCGAAGGCAGCUUACCAAGCUACGAUUGACGCUGAGGCACGAAAGCGUGGGGAUCGAACAGG
Molecule: ribosomal RNA, 253 nt
Filed under: uncultured bacterium
Lineage: Bacteria
Description: partial 16S ribosomal RNA
Rfam family: Bacterial small subunit ribosomal RNA
Source: RNAcentral